ACAGCUGGAGGUGGAGACGCCGGAGGGGGACUAGCAGGGGGAGGAGAAGCCGGAGGAGGAGAUGCCGGAGGUGGUGAAGCAGGAGGUGGUGAAGCCGGAGGAGGAGAUGCUGGAGGAGGAGAAGCCGGAGGAGGGGAUGCAGGAGGGGGAGAUGCAGGAGGAGGAGAAGCAGGAGGUGGAGAUGAAGGAGGAGGAGAGGAAACCGGCGGCGGUGUCGCCGGAGGUGGAGAGGUGACCGCCGGUGGUGGACUCGCCGCUGGAGG
RNAcentral lists this long non-coding RNA (263 nucleotides) under Carica papaya (papaya). Its description in RNAcentral is "long non-coding RNA (CPAP_LNC004578)". Lineage: Eukaryota; Viridiplantae; Streptophyta; Magnoliopsida; Brassicales; Caricaceae. The record is from RNAcentral.